GACGAACGCUGGCGGCAUGCCUCAUACAUGCAAGUCGAACGAGACGUUGACUUCGGUUAGCGGACGGUGGCGGACGGGUGAGGAAUAUGUCGGAAAUCUGCCUUUAGGUGGGGGACAACAGUGGGAAACUUCUGCUAAUACCCCAUAUCAGCGUAGCUUAAAUGUUGUUUUUGAAAACUUCGGUGCCUAAAGAUGAGCCUGCAUCGGAUUAGCUAGUUGGUAGUGUAAUGGCCUACCAAGGCGACGAUCAGUAGCUGGUCUGAGAGGAUGAUCAGCCACACUGGGACUGAGACACGGCCCAGACUCCUACGGGAGGCAGCAGUAGGGAAUUUUGGACAAUGGGCGAAAGCCUGAUCCAGCAAUGCCGCGUGAGCGAUGAAGGCCUUCGGGGUGUAAAGUUCUGUCAGUCGGGACGAAACUGAACGUACCCGACGGAGAAAGCACCGCCUAACUCGGU
RNAcentral lists this ribosomal RNA (457 nucleotides) under uncultured bacterium. Its description in RNAcentral is "partial 16S ribosomal RNA". It matches the Rfam family "Bacterial small subunit ribosomal RNA", at positions 28 to 506 of the family's 1533-position model. The record is from RNAcentral.